GAAAGAUACGUCAUUGAGUGCAGCGUUGAUGUCGAAACUUAUUUCAAAGUUCUAACUUUUCUCAUCAGCGCUUCAUUCAAUCACGUUUCUU
This 91-nucleotide microRNA precursor is filed under the name Cucumis melo (muskmelon). RNAcentral describes it as "MIR397 microRNA precursor family". It matches the Rfam family "MIR397 microRNA precursor family". RNAcentral also lists the same sequence under 1 other name. The record is from Rfam by way of RNAcentral. Lineage: Eukaryota; Viridiplantae; Streptophyta; Magnoliopsida; Cucurbitales; Cucurbitaceae.